UGCAUAUGAUGAAUACAAUAUUUGCUAUCUGACUUGUGUGAUUACAACUUUUUCCACCAAGAUCUCUGAUGCA
Small nucleolar RNA from Bombina bombina (fire-bellied toad), 73 nucleotides. RefSeq annotates it as small nucleolar RNA SNORD24. NCBI's taxonomy places the organism in Eukaryota, Metazoa, Chordata, Amphibia, Anura, Bombinatoridae. The record is from RefSeq and is a predicted model, not a curated record. The transcript has a single exon.